Arvicola amphibius (Eurasian water vole) is the source of this 1022-nucleotide long non-coding RNA. RefSeq lists it as uncharacterized. NCBI's taxonomy places the organism in Eukaryota, Metazoa, Chordata, Mammalia, Rodentia, Cricetidae. The transcript has 5 exons. The record is from RefSeq and is a predicted model, not a curated record.
AAAUCGGAGCCAUUCUAGCGUCGAGGCCCAGGUUUGAGGCCAUGAUGACUCAACGCAGCAUCCCCUCCCGUGACAAACAGCGGUCUCCGCCUAUCCCCAAUCAAUCUCAACCAGGCACUCUGGGCGCCAGGAUUCCCAGUACUUAGCUGGUGGGUAAAGGGGCUCAUCCCCUUCCCCAUAACCCAGCAGGCUAGACGUCCUCUCUACCCAGUCUUCUGGAGUGCGGAGCUCUCGCCAGGAUUCUGCUCUCGAAGGGUUUGAAGGAUGUAACCUCCAGACCGGGAAUUUAAGACGCAAGAACCAGCCAGCGAAUGUGGCAGCCUAGCUCUCGACUCCCAGAACCACCUUCUCAUGGGUGGCACUGCUCACGGUGACAUGAACCCUUUCCCUAUCAAUCAUCAAUCAUCAAUGAAGAAUAUGCACUAUAGACUUGCCUAAGCCAAUCGGAUGUACACAAUUCCUCAGAGAUGACAUCUCACCAGUUGCCUCAAGCUGCUGUCGUUGUGACUUCCCUGCUAUAAGAGACCAUCUCCAGACACUAUGAGCCAAUAUCCAUCGUCUUAGAGAGUGGAAGAGAAUAGUCAAGCCUUCCCACAGGCCACUUGCCAACAAGACCUCAAGGUUCAUUCACCUGCCGAGCCUCUGGUAAGCCCUCUGCCCCGUGCCUGGUGCUAUACUAGUAGCUGAGAUCAAGGCAGUAGCAAGACCUUCAAGGCACCCAGAUCUGAAGUCUACUUGAAAGCUGAACCAUGCCACAGCCAUGUUCUGUUUCCCUCCAGCUAGGAUUUUCAUUGUAUCUCUCUCCUCCACUAAGACUGGGACCUGCUCACAUCUUUCUGCAUCCUAAGAGCAUGUUCUUCCAUGGAAGGCAUGUUACGGAAUGGGAUGUAUCAUUGGAGACGCAGAGGAAGGUGAUGGCUGCAGAAGAAAUAACCAGUGGGUUAGUUGGAGGCUGUAAAACCUGGUAUUUCACUGAAUAGAAGAGGCCGAUGGAGCCAAGAAGCCAACAAAAUGUAAGCGAC